CCUACGGGGGGCUGCAGUGAGGAAUAUUGGUCAAUGGCCGAGAGGCUGAACCAGCCAAGUCGCGUGAGGGAAGACGGCUCUACGGGUUGUAAACUUCUUUUGUCGGGGAGCAAAGCGAGUCACGUGUGACUCAUUGAGAGUACCCGAAGAAAAAGCAUCGGCUAACUCCGUGCCAGCAGCCGCGGUAAUACGGAGGAUGCAAGCGUUAUCCGGAUUUAUUGGGUUAAAAGGGUGCGCAGGGGGAGGUGCAAGUCAGCGGUCAAAUCGCGGGGCUCAACCCCGUACUGCCGUUGAAACUGCAUCGCUUGAGUGCGCGAGAGGUAAGCGGAAUGCGUGGUGUAGCGGUGAAAUGCAUAGAGAUCACGCAGAACACCGAUUGCGAAGGCAGCAUACCGGCGCGCAACUGACGCUCAGGCACGAAAGCGUGGGGAUCAAACAGGAUUAGAUACCCCGGUAGUC
Molecule: ribosomal RNA, 459 nt
Filed under: uncultured bacterium
Lineage: Bacteria
Description: partial 16S ribosomal RNA
Rfam family: Bacterial small subunit ribosomal RNA
Source: RNAcentral